CUACGUGCCAGCAGCCGCGGUAAUACGGAGGGUGCGAGCGUUAAUCGGAAUAACUGGGCGUAAAGGGCACGCAGGCGGUGACUUAAGUGAGGUGUGAAAGCCCCGGGCUUAACCUGGGAAUUGCAUUUCAUACUGGGUCGCUAGAGUACUUUAGGGAGGGGUAGAAUUCCACGUGUAGCGGUGAAAUGCGUAGAGAUGUGGAGGAAUACCGAAGGCGAAGGCAGCCCCAUGGGAAUGUACUGACGCUCAUGUGCGAAAGCGUGGGGAGCAAACAGGAUUAGAUACCCUGGUAGUCCACGCUGUAAACGAUGUCGAUUUGGGGGUUGAGCUUUAAGUUUGGCGCCCGUAGCUAACGUGAUAAAUCGACCGCCUGGGGAGUACGGCCGCAAGGUUAAAACUCAAAUGAAUUGACGGGGGCCCGCACAAGCGGUGGAGCAUGUGGUUUAAUUCGAUGCAACGCGAAGAACCUUACCUACUCUUGACAUCCAGAGAACAUUC
Molecule: ribosomal RNA, 498 nt
Filed under: uncultured bacterium
Lineage: Bacteria
Description: bacterial SSU rRNA
Rfam family: Bacterial small subunit ribosomal RNA
Source: RNAcentral